UACGAAGGGAGCUAGCGUUGUUCGGAAUUACUGGGCGUAAAGGGCGCGUAGGCGGUUUAACAAGUUUGGUGUGAAAGCCCUGGGCUUAACCUAGGAACUGCAUUGAAUACUGUUAGACUAGAGACCGAGAGAGGAAGAUGGAAUUGCGAGUGUAGAGGUGAAAUUCGUAGAUAUUCGCAAGAACACCAGUGGCGAAGGCGAUCUUCUGGCUCGGUACUGACGCUAAGGCGCGAAAGCGUGGGGAGCAAACAGG
RNAcentral lists this ribosomal RNA (253 nucleotides) under uncultured bacterium. Its description in RNAcentral is "partial 16S ribosomal RNA". It matches the Rfam family "Bacterial small subunit ribosomal RNA", at positions 524 to 776 of the family's 1533-position model. The record is from RNAcentral.